Molecule: transfer RNA, 87 nt
Filed under: Fermentimonas caenicola
Lineage: Bacteria; Pseudomonadati; Bacteroidota; Bacteroidia; Bacteroidales; Dysgonomonadaceae
Description: tRNA-Leu
Rfam family: tRNA
About the family: Transfer RNA (tRNA) molecules are approximately 80 nucleotides in length.
Source: RNAcentral
GCCCAGAUGGCGGAAUUGGUAGACGCGUUGGUCUCAAACACCAAUGGAUGCAAGUCCUUGUCGGUUCGAUCCCGACUCUGGGUACUA